CAGUCGCCGCGGGAAUACGGAGGGUGCAAGCGUUAAUCGGAAUUACUGGGCGUAAAGCGUGCGUAGGUGGUGGUUUAAGUCCGUUGUGAAAGCCCUGGGCUCAACCUGGGAAUUGCAGUGGAUACUGGGUCACUAGAGUGUGGUAGAGGAUAGUGGAAUUUCCGGUGUAGCAGUGAAAUGCGUAGAGAUCGGAAGGAACAUCUGUGGCGAAGGCGACUAUCUGGGCCAACACUGACACUGAGGCACGAAAGCGUGGGGAGCAAACAGGAUUAGAUACCCCCGUAGUCCCUGUCUCUUAUAC
This 301-nucleotide ribosomal RNA is filed under the name uncultured bacterium. RNAcentral describes it as "partial 16S ribosomal RNA". It matches the Rfam family "Bacterial small subunit ribosomal RNA", at positions 509 to 807 of the family's 1533-position model. The record is from RNAcentral.